AGUGAACGCUGGCGGUAGGCCUAACACAUGCAAGUCGAACGGCAGCACAGUAAGAGCUUGCUCUUACGGGUGGCGAGUGGCGGACGGGUGAGGAAUACAUCGGAAUCUACUUUUUCGUGGGGGAUAACGUAGGGAAACUUACGCUAAUACCGCAUACGACCUACGGGUGAAAGCAGGGGAUCUUCGGACCUUGCGCGAUUGAAUGAGCCGAUGUCGGAUUAGCUAGUUGGCGGGGUAAAGGCCCACCAAGGCGACGAUCCGUAGCUGGUCUGAGAGGAUGAUCAGCCACACUGGAACUGAGACACGGUCCAGACUCCUACGGGAGGCAGCAGUGGGGAAUAUUGGACAAUGGGCGAAAGUCUGAUCCAGCCAUACCGCGUGGGUGAAGAAGGCCUUCGGGUUGUAAAGCCCUUUUGUUGGGAAAGAAAAGCAGCAGGUUAAUACCCCGCUGUUCUGACGGUACCCAAAGAAUAAGCACCGGCUAACUUCGUG
RNAcentral lists this ribosomal RNA (492 nucleotides) under uncultured bacterium. Its description in RNAcentral is "partial 16S ribosomal RNA". It matches the Rfam family "Bacterial small subunit ribosomal RNA", at positions 29 to 507 of the family's 1533-position model. The record is from RNAcentral.